Pipra filicauda (Wire-tailed manakin) is the source of this 4191-nucleotide RNA transcript. It is a transcript of the gene named methyltransferase like 6, with no coding region annotated. The record is from RefSeq and is a predicted model, not a curated record. Lineage: Eukaryota; Metazoa; Chordata; Aves; Passeriformes; Pipridae. The transcript is spliced from 7 exons.
CGGGAAAGCUCUCCGGGGCCGGCGGCGGAUACUCACUUAUCUUACUUAAGUGAUGGAACCAUACACUAAAGAAAAAAAAUCACCCUUGGAUCUUUGGCAUUCAUAUUUGUGUGAAAGAAUCUAGGAUGUUCCAAGAAAAGGCAUCAGACAAUUGCUUAAAUGUAGUAACAACAUCUACUGAAGAUGGUGCUUUCCAAAAGAAAGGCCAUAGUGCAAGAGUCCUUAGCCCAGAGGAAGCUGAGAGACUGGCAAAAGAUCAGGUUUUGGUGUCUGAGUUCAAACAACUAAAACUGGAGAAAGAGGCACAGAAGAACUGGGAUCUGUUUUACAAAAGAAACAGUACCAACUUCUUCAAAGAUAGACAUUGGACAACUAGAGAGUUUCAAGAGUUAAAAGCAUGUCGUGAGUUUGCAGAUCAGAAACUGACCGUUCUGGAAGCGGGCUGUGGGGUUGGGAACUGCUUGUUUCCACUCUUAGAAGAAGAUCUGAAUAUUUUUGCAUAUGCCUGUGAUUUCUCUCCUAGAGCUGUUGAGUAUGUGAAGAAAAAUGCCUUAUAUAGUACCGAAAGAUGUAAAGUGUUCCAGUGCGAUCUUACCAAAGAUGAUCUUCUAGACAAUAUACCAGCAGAUUCAGUGGAUGUUGUCACACUUAUAUUUGUCCUUUCUGCCAUUCAUCCUGACAAAAUGAAUCUUGUCUUGAAGAACAUUUACAAGGUAUUAAAACCAGGCAAGUGUGUCUUGUUCCGAGACUAUGGAAUGUAUGAUCAUGCAAUGCUCAGGUUUAAAUCCGGCAGCAAACUUGGAGAAAACUUUUAUGUUAGACAAGAUGGGACAAGAUCAUAUUUUUUUACUGAAGAGUUCUUAUCUCAGCUUUUCAAGGCUGAGGGAUAUGAGCAAGUGGUCAAUGAAUAUGUGCAGCGAGAAACUGUGAAUAGGAAAGAAGACUUACGUGUUCCAAGAGUUUUUCUUCAAGGCAAAUUUCAAAAGCCUUUCAGUAAGACAUAAGUUCUUGCUGAUUAGCAACAGCAUUACUUGUUUGAAAUUGAAGCUAGCAUAUAGCCUCAUGUGUGCUCAUCUUUCUAGUAAACCAGAAAUGACUGCAUCCAGUGCCUCCUGUUGGUUUCUGUCCUCAGCUACAAAAUAAGAAUGCUAUUUCUAAUUCACUUUUAAGAUGGUUUACUGAUGCAGGCAACCUGUUGAGCGCCUGUAUUCCUACUUCUAAAGUAAAACCUGUGCAACACUGUUGGAGAAUCAGGUACCUGAAGGUUCCUUGGGUUGCAAAGGCCGAAUAUUUAAGCAGUUAGUACAACACUAUAGCCAUGGUUGACUGUGCAUCAUUUCUAUGAAACCAAGUGCUAUAAAAGUGGGACCUGAAACUCCAGCACCUAUAAACAUCAGCAGUCAACUGUAAAACAUGCAGCCUUGGUCUUGUAGGUGAAUACUGGUAUAUGAAAUCUGAAAGGUCAUUUAUAUUGUAAUUUUUUUUUGCUUGAUCUGUUGUAUGGUUUAUACAUCUGAAUAUAUUGAGAGAUACAAAUUACCAGUUAGGAAGUGUUUUAUGGAAGAGUCGUUUGAAAGAUACAUAUAUUUGGAGAAGAUAUUGGUGUUGAGUAUCAGUAUGUGAAGGAAAAAAGUUAAGAUUAUGUUUAAGUUACUGGGGAAAAAAGCAUUUCCUGAGUUUCACAGACCAGCGAUGAUGUACAAUUAAAUGUAUUGUUCAUCUGAAAAGUGCAACUUUGGAAAUGAAAGCCUGCAGCUUCCAAAAUCAGACUAAUGUUACAGGGAGGCAGAAAGAUGGCCUCAAAUUGUGUGUGAUAUCAGUAAUACAUUCAAGACUCUGUGCGAAGCAGAAUUUUAUAUUGGAAAGAUAUUGUCGAGAUACGAUUAGUGAAAAUAGGUAAGUGUUUGUUUAUGGAUUUUUACCUCCCAUAGUAUAGCUAUGAAGAAUUUUUCACUGGUUAUGCUUGUUAUUAGGAAUGAUUGUGAGCCAUUUCAAAUGCUUGGGAGCAAACAUUUAUUAGUUAUACAUUUUGCAAAAACAUCUGGCCCUUGGGUGCAGUAGGUUCAGGAUAUGAUUAUGUUUGCUCUCUGUGUUUGUAAUGUGAGUUCAUUUACUAGAACAAAGGCAGAUGGGGAGCCUACACCGUGGGGAGGCACACAGAGGCAUUGCUUGCAAAAAUAAAAGUUAUUAGUCAGGUAAGAUGUUCCAUUAGAGAACCUUUUUCAUUUCCACCUCCUGGGCUCAUAUGCAGCAGGGAGAAAAUACUGGUGCUGUGAAAUCAGGGAAGGCAAGGGCUCAAGAAAAAGAACGUGAUUCUUCCAAACGAAAACUGAUUUUGUGUACCUCUACUUAAAUGAUUCUGUUUGGGAACGUUCAGUCUCUUUUCCAGCAAGUCUUAGACCUCAUCCUUGGAAAAUUUGAUCGCUUUUGAAGGUCUUUGCCAAAGACACAGGUUUAACUUACAUGCUUGUAGAAUAUAUAAAGUGCAUGCUUGUAGAAUAUAUGAAGUGAAAUAUUAAAAAAGGUAGCUGUGUGACUGAAAAUAUAAAUCCAGAUUUGUUUUUCUCCCUUGCCUUGUGAGAAGCUUUAUGCUUCACUGUCACUUCAGUGCUUUUUCAGAGUUCCUGCUCUGGGAUGCUGUGCUGUCUUGCCCUUGUUUAAGCUAUAUACACCAUAUUGACUACAGCUCAGGUUUCUGAUGCCUGUAGUAUCCUGAGAAAUUAGAGUGGAAAUAACUGAGGGUAGUUGCAGGGAAAAAUCAGAAAGUAGGCAAGGCACUACUGAAGACAAGCCUACCUACUGUCUGUGCUCUACUCAGUAUUUUUCUAUGCUCCAUUUCUCUUGGAUUUCUGUACUAAAUUUUGAACAGCAGAGAAGCUGCUAUUCAAUGGGGUAAUGAUCUUCAUACAUAUGGGAUUGCUGUGCAUCUGAAAUUCAAGGAAUUUUGUGAACUUUGUUUUCUUUUUUCUAAUUUUGGCUUUAAGCUUGUAUCUGAAAUCUAACAUUUAAUUGGAAUUUUUAUCAUCUAAUAGAUGAUAAAAAUCUUUUUCCUUUAAAUGUAACAAACCUGUUGCUGUUUUGCUAAAACCAGAGUAUUCAAAAGCAGGAUGGAAGAAGAUGGGAGGGAAGGAAAUGAGACUUUUCUGUACAAAUAACAUAAAUGUUCUGAUCUAUUUGUUUUAUUAGCAAAACAAAUUUCAUAGGAACAUGAAAAUACUUUGAAGAAGCCACUAAACCAUUGCCACUAAUUUUUUCUAAACUACCUUCAGAAAGAUAGUUCUACAAGCUUGUGCAACUUUUUAGACUUAGCCAUGACCAGCUGGCUGAAGUAUCUGAUCACAGACUUCACCUUCAAUAUUUGAGGGUGCUCUGUUGUGUCCUUUAGGAUCUGGCCUCAGGGAACAUCCCACUUGUAACCUCUUAUCUGGAUGAAGGUGAGCCACUUAUUGGAAGUUGAAUAUGCAGAUGUUCAUGACUUUCCACCCAAUAAAGUAGCACCCUCUUUGCUUCACCGUGUAGGCCACUAAAGACUUUUAGUAGUUCUGGAUCAGCUUCCAGUAACAAUUUCAGGUUGGGGUUUUGAUUUUGAAGGCAACUAAUAAAUUAAAGGUCAACAACUGUCUGUAUAUGCUUGACCUGUACUUGUCUGGGACACAGUGGCCAAGAGAAAGUCUGUUAAAAAUAAAACUCACAAGAUAGGAGAACCCAUCUCAAAGUAAACUGAAAUAAUCAAACUGAUAGAUUCAAAAUGUAUUUUAGAAAUACUGAAAAAUCCUCUCCUUACAGACUUUCCUCUACACAAAAUACUAACCUGCCCUGUUACUUAAAAGUUCCUUCCAAGCCACUAAAUAAAGGCUUUAAAAAAACCCCAUAACUGAACCUUAAAGGAAAAGGAAAUAUUACAAACAGACUGUCCAGUGUUAACCACGUACAUCUCUUAAAGUAGGGCAGUGGUGUUCUCAAAAGCCCACUGAAGAGAGGGUAAGCUUGUCAACUGGUGCUGGUACAGAGAGCUUUUACUUUGAUUCCAUAAUGCACAGUUUAUACUUCAUUUGUACAGGUUUCUUUAUGGGAACUCUUUGCCUGAUUCAGUCACCGAUAGUAGAUUGGCAAGAUAGAAUGAAUUUGCAGUUAGAACCAAUUCUAGGAUGUAUUACUACUUCUGUAAAAUAAAAGACUUCUUGUGAAUGA